This 315-nucleotide long non-coding RNA is filed under the name Bos taurus (domestic cattle). Its description in RNAcentral is "long non-coding RNA NONBTAT006676". The record is from RNAcentral. Lineage: Eukaryota; Metazoa; Chordata; Mammalia; Artiodactyla; Bovidae.
AAGACAAUUAUGCUGUGGUAAGCAUGUAAUAGCCUUGGUGUGUCACAGUUUCUGCAGAUUGCUGAAUCUUAAGGCUACUUUGUGAAACACAAACUCUGUGACUAGAAAGGAUGAAGUCAUGGCAAAACUUGGAUUAUACAACUCACAAGAAAACUAAAUAGCUAAACUCAACUGGAAAAAGUCAGAAACUAAAUACUUUCUCCUCUCUGGUUAAGUUUGGAUGUUUACUUUAGGACUGUAUGGUACUUCUUGGUUUAUAAUUUUCACAUAACUAACCAUUAUCCAUAGUUCCCAGCACAAACAGGUUAAAUAACC